CCCGACUGCUAUCAGAGUGGGACUAAGCCAUGCGAGUCAACAUAGCAAUAUGUGGCAUACGGCUCAGUAACACGUAGUCAACAUGCCCAGGGGACGUGGAUAACCUCGGGAAACUGAGGAUAAACCGCGAUAGGUCAUCACUUCUGGAAUGGGUAAUGACUUAAACCUAUAUGGCCCCUGGAUUGGACUGCGGCCGAUCAGGCUGUUGGUGAGGUAAUGGCCCACCAAACCUGUAACCGGUACGGGCUCUGAGAGGAGGAGCCCGGAGAUGGGCACUGAGACAAGGGCCCAGGCCCUAUGGGGCGCAGCAGGCGCGAAACCUCUGCAAUAGGCGAAAGCUUGACAGGGUUACUCUGAGUGAUUUCCGUUAAGGAGAUCUUUUGGCACCUCUAAAAAUGGUGCAGAAUAAGGGGUGGGCAAGUCUGGUGUCAGCCGCCGCGGUAAUACCAGCACCCCGAGUGGUCGGGACGUUUAUUGGGCCUAAAGCAUCCGUAGCCGGUUCUACAAGUCUUCCGUUAAAUCCACCUGCUUAACAGAUGGGCUGCGGAAGAUACUAUAGAGCUAGGAGGCGGGAGAGGCAAGCGGUACUCGAUGGGUAGGGGUAAAAUCCGUUGAUCCAUUGAAGACCACCAGUGGCGAAGGCGGCUUGCCAGAACGCGCUCGACGGUGAGGGAUGAAAGCUGGGGGAGCAAACCGGAUUAGAUACCCGGGUAGUCCCAGCUGUAAACGAUGCAGACUCGGUGAUGAGUUGGCUUAUUGCUAACU
RNAcentral lists this ribosomal RNA (765 nucleotides) under uncultured archaeon. RNAcentral's name for it is "bacterial SSU rRNA". It matches the Rfam family "Archaeal small subunit ribosomal RNA", at positions 21 to 795 of the family's 1478-position model. The record is from RNAcentral.